AUUGAACGCUGGCGGCAGGCCUAACACAUGCAAGUCGAGCGGAUGAAGGGAGCUUGCUCCUGUAUUCAGCGGCGGACGGGUGAGUAAUGCCUAGGAAUCUGCCUGGUAGUGGGGGAUAACGUCCGGAAACGGGCGCUAAUACCGCAUCCGUCCUGAGGGAGAAAGUGGGGGAUCUUCGGACCUCACGCUAUCAGCUGAGCCUAGGUCGGAUUAGCUAGUUGGUGGGGUAAAGGCCUACCAAGGCGACGAUCCGUAACUGGUCUGAGAGGAUGAUCAGUCACACUGGAACUGAGACACGGUCCAGACUCCUACGGGAGGCAGCAGUGGGGAAUAUUGGACAAUGGGCGAAAGCCUGAACCAGCCAUGCCGCGUGUGUGAAGAAGGUCUUCGGAUUGUAAAGCACUUUAAGUUGGGAGGAAGGGAAGUAAGUUAAUACCUUGAUGUUUUGACGUUACCAACAGAAUAAGCACCGGCUAACUUCGUG
This 484-nucleotide ribosomal RNA is filed under the name uncultured bacterium. Its description in RNAcentral is "partial 16S ribosomal RNA". It matches the Rfam family "Bacterial small subunit ribosomal RNA", at positions 30 to 507 of the family's 1533-position model. The record is from RNAcentral.